GUGCCUUUUGUCUCUAACCUUUUCCAGCUGAGUUAUCUUUCAUGUCAUCUAUGAUCUCCCUUACAGGCAGGAGACAGGCAACGCUCUACCUCGUCGGGAGCUAUCUGUGUGCUCAUCAGCCAGCCAGGAUGCACUUGCUGACUCGGUGACUGUAGACUGCCAUGGUGUUCAAAAUCUUCAAGAAAAGGAGCAAUGGGAGGUUUCCUGGGCAACCCACCAAACGAAAAUAACAUUCAUGGAGCUGGACAGAAUCGAGGAGAGGGACCACCUAAAACCAAACCAUAUGACUGGGAGCAUCAUCCAGACACUCAAACAUGGUGAGUCAAGAUUUGCUUUUCCUGGAUCAACUGCAUGACUCCACAAC
Molecule: long non-coding RNA, 364 nt
Filed under: Calidris pugnax (ruff)
Lineage: Eukaryota; Metazoa; Chordata; Aves; Charadriiformes; Scolopacidae
Description: lncRNA (ENSCPUG00000006838.1)
Source: RNAcentral